AUACGUAGGUGACAAGCGUUAUCCGGAUUUACUGGGCGUAAAGGGCGUGUAGGCGGUCUUGCAAGUCAGAAGUGAAAUUCCUGAGCUCAACUCGGGCGCUGCUUCUGAAACUGCAGGACUUGAGUGCUGGAGGGGAUAGCGGAAUUCCUAGUGGAGCGGUAAAAUGCGCAGAUAUUAGGAAGAACACCGGUGGCGAAGGCGGCUACCUGGAAAGUAAAUGACGCUGAGGCGCGAAAGCGUGGGGAGCAAACAGGAUUAGAUACCCUGGUAGUCCACACAGUAAACGAUGAUGGCUAACCGCUGGGCUUAUCAGUUCAGUGGCCAAGCGAAAGCGAUAAGCCAUCCACCUGGGGAGUACGACCGCAAGGUUGAAACUCAAAGGAAUUGACGGGG
RNAcentral lists this ribosomal RNA (393 nucleotides) under uncultured bacterium. RNAcentral describes it as "partial 16S ribosomal RNA". It matches the Rfam family "Bacterial small subunit ribosomal RNA", at positions 523 to 918 of the family's 1533-position model. The record is from RNAcentral.